Molecule: long non-coding RNA, 320 nt
Filed under: Marmota monax (woodchuck)
Lineage: Eukaryota; Metazoa; Chordata; Mammalia; Rodentia; Sciuridae
Source: RNAcentral
ACACCACUAUUUACGCUAACCCCAAGUGGGUGAUGACCUGUCAGCUUUCCUCCCUGUAACCCAAAUACCCAGCAAGAACCACUUAGAGGAGGGAAAGUUUAUUUGGGGCUCAAGUUUUCAAAGUCUCAGUCCAUAGGUGGCUGACUCCGUUGCUCUGGGCCCCAGGUGAGGCCGGACACCAGGGCAGAAGGACCCAGCUAAAGGAGGCUGCUCAGCUCGUGGGGGUCAAGAGGCAGAGAGAGCUCUUCUUCCAGGGACGGUAUCUAGAGGUACUCAGAAUGGUUCAGCGCUUGACAACCGUCGUAGGCUUUCCUACAACA